Molecule: unclassified non-coding RNA, 291 nt
Organism: Macaca fascicularis (crab-eating macaque)
Lineage: Eukaryota; Metazoa; Chordata; Mammalia; Primates; Cercopithecidae
Rfam family: Metazoan signal recognition particle RNA
About the family: The signal recognition particle (SRP) is a universally conserved ribonucleoprotein. It is involved in the co-translational targeting of proteins to membranes.
Source: Ensembl
GCUGGGUGUGUGAUCCCAGUGCCUGUAGUCCCAACUACUGGGGAGGCUGAGGCAGGAGGAUCGUUUGAGGUCAGGAGUUCUGGGCUGAAGUGUACUAUGCUGAUCUGGUGUGUACACUAAGUUCAGCAUCAAAUAUGGUGACCUCCCGGGAGCAGGUUGCCUAAGGAGGGGUGAACCCGCCCAGGUUGGAAAUGGUGCAGGUCAAAACACCUGUGCUGGUCAGUGAUGGGAUCAUGCCUGUGAAUAGUCACUGUACUCCAGCCUGGGCAACAUAGUGAGACCCCAUCUCAA